UACAGAGGUCCCAAGCGUUGUUCGGAUUUACUGGGCGUAAAGGGUGCGUAGGUGGCGAGGUAAGUUCGAUGUGAAAUCUCCGAGCUCAACUCGGAAAUGGCAUUGAAUACUAUCCCGCUUGAGGGUCGGAGGGGAGACUGGAAUUCCUGGUGUAGCGGUGAAAUGCGCAGAUAUCAGGAGGAACACCGAUGGCGAAGGCAGGUCUCUGGGCAUUAACUGACGCUGAGGAGCGAAAGCAUGGGGAGCGAACAGG
RNAcentral lists this ribosomal RNA (253 nucleotides) under uncultured bacterium. RNAcentral describes it as "partial 16S ribosomal RNA". It matches the Rfam family "Bacterial small subunit ribosomal RNA", at positions 524 to 776 of the family's 1533-position model. The record is from RNAcentral.